Molecule: ribosomal RNA, 451 nt
Filed under: uncultured Methanolinea sp.
Lineage: Archaea; Methanobacteriati; Methanobacteriota; Methanomicrobia; Methanomicrobiales; Methanoregulaceae
Description: bacterial SSU rRNA
Rfam family: Archaeal small subunit ribosomal RNA
Source: RNAcentral
UGGAGCCUGCGGUUUAAUUGGACUCAACGCCCGGGCAGCUCACCGGAUAAGACAGCUGGAUGAUAGCCGGGCUGAAGACUCUGCUUGACUAGCUGAGAGGAGGUGCAUGGCCGUCGUCAGUUCGUACUGUGAAGCAUCCUGUUAAGUCAGGCAACGAGCGAGACCCACGCCAACAGUUGCCAGCAUGUCCUCCGGGAUGAUGGGGACACUGUUGGGACCGCCUCUGCUAAAGAGGAGGAAGGAAUGGGCAACGGUAGGUCAGCAUGCCCCGAAUUAUCCGGGCUACACGCGGGCUACAAUGGUCAGGACAAUGGGUAUCGACACCGAGAGGUGGAGGCAAUCUCCUAAACCUGUCCUUAGUUCGGAUUGUGGGCUGCAACUCGCCCACAUGAAGCUGGAAUCCGUAGUAAUCGCGUUUCAAAAUAGCGCGGUGAAUAUGUCCCUGCUCCUU